UGCCAGCAGCCGCGGUAAUACGGAGGUUGCAAGCGUUGUUCGGAAUAACUGGGCGUAAAGCGGACGCAGGCGGCUAAGUCAGUCUGAAGUGAAAUCCCGGGGCUCAACCUCGGAAUGGCUUCGGAUACUGCUUGGCUUGAGUACGUGAGAGGAGAGUGGAAUUCCUGGUGUAGCGGUGAAAUGCGUAGAUAUCAGGAGGAACACCAAUGGCGAAAGCAACACUCUGGCACGUUACUGACGCUGAGGUCCGAAAGCGUGGGGAGCGAAAGGGAUUAGAUA
Molecule: ribosomal RNA, 279 nt
Filed under: uncultured bacterium
Lineage: Bacteria
Description: partial 16S ribosomal RNA
Rfam family: Bacterial small subunit ribosomal RNA
Source: RNAcentral